This 253-nucleotide ribosomal RNA is filed under the name uncultured bacterium. Its description in RNAcentral is "partial 16S ribosomal RNA". It matches the Rfam family "Bacterial small subunit ribosomal RNA", at positions 524 to 776 of the family's 1533-position model. The record is from RNAcentral.
UACAUGGGGUGCAAACGUUGCUCGGAAUUAUUGGGCGUAAAGCGCACGUAGGUGGUCUGUUAUGUCAGAUGUGAAAGCCCUCGGCUUAACUGAGGAAGUGCACCUGAAACUGGCAGGCUUGAGUACGAGAGAGGGUCGCGGAAUUCCCGGUGUAGAGGUGAAAGUCGUAGAUAUCGGGAGGAACACCGGUAACGAAGGCGGCGACCUGGUUCGAUACUGACGCUGAGGUGCGAAAGCGUGGGGAGCAAACAGG